Molecule: ribosomal RNA, 492 nt
Filed under: uncultured bacterium
Lineage: Bacteria
Description: partial 16S ribosomal RNA
Rfam family: Bacterial small subunit ribosomal RNA
Source: RNAcentral
AGUGAACGCUGGCGGUAGGCCUAACACAUGCCAGUCGAACGGCAGCACAGUAAGAGCUUGCUCUUACGGGUGGCGAGUGGCGGACGGGUGAGGAAUACAUCGGAAUCUACUUUUUCGUGGGGGAUAACGUAGGGAAACUUACGCUAAUACCGCAUACGCCCUACGGGUGAAAGCAGGGGAUCUUCGGACCUUGCGCUAUUGAAUGAGCCGAUGUCGGAUUAGCUAGUUGGCGGGGUAAAGGCCCACCAAGGCGACGAUCCGUAGCUGGUCUGAGAGGAUGAUCAGCCACACUGGAACUGAGACACGGUCCAGACUCCUACGGGAGGCAGCAGUGGGGAAUAUUGGACAAUGGGCGCAAGCCUGAUCCAGCCAUACCGCGUGGGUGAAGAAGGCCUUCGGGUUGUAAAGCACUUUUGUUGGGAAAGAAAAGCAGCAGGUUAAUACCCCGCUGUUCUGACGGUACCCAAAGAAUAAGCACCGGCUAACUUCGUG